GACGAACGCUGGCGGCGUGCCUAAUACAUGCAAGUAGAACGCUGAAGGAGGGGUUUGCUUCUCUGGCUGAGUUGCGCACGGGUGAGUAACGCGUAAGUAACCUGCCUGGUAGCGGGGGAUAUCUAUUGGAAACGAUAGCUAAUACCGCAUAAGAGUAGAUGUUGCAUGACAUUUGCUUAAACGCUGCAAUUGCAUUACUACCAGAUGGACCUGCGUUGUUUUAGCUAGUUUGUGGGGUAACGGCUUACCAAGGCGACGAUACUUAGCCGACCUGAGAGGGUGAUCGGCCACACUGGGACUGGGACACGGCCCAGGCUCCUACGGGAGGGAGCAGUAGGGAAUCUUCGGCAAUGGACGGAAAUCUGGCCGAGCAACGCCGCGUGGGUGAAGAAGGUUCUCGGGUCGUAAAGCUCUGUUGUAAGGGAAGAACGAGUGGUAGAGUGGAAAGUUCACGCUGUGACGGUAUCUUACCAAAAAGGAACGGCUAACUACGUG
Molecule: ribosomal RNA, 495 nt
Filed under: uncultured bacterium
Lineage: Bacteria
Description: partial 16S ribosomal RNA
Rfam family: Bacterial small subunit ribosomal RNA
Source: RNAcentral